Long non-coding RNA from Trichosurus vulpecula (common brushtail), 1156 nucleotides. RefSeq lists it as uncharacterized. The transcript is spliced from 3 exons. The record is from RefSeq and is a predicted model, not a curated record. Lineage: Eukaryota; Metazoa; Chordata; Mammalia; Diprotodontia; Phalangeridae.
AAACUGAGUCCCAGAAGAAUUGAAUUACUUGCCGGAACACAAAAGCUAGCUAGUUAGUAGUAAACACAGGAUUAGAACUCACCCCUCCUGAUUUCCAGUUGUCGUGGUUAUAAUUUGGUGGAACCCAAGGAGCACCAGUGGCCGAAGGGGAAGCAGGCAAAUAGCAGUGAUGGAAGCAGUUUCACAGGUGCCAGAGGAGGGCCCCUGGAAAAUAACCUCUCCUGCACUCUCCAUACCCAAGUGGCACUCUGAAGGAGACAAGAACCCAGGCAGCAGUGGUGAGAGCUUGGAAUGUAGCCAUGGAGCAGGAUCGGAGAACUGCUUGCCAACCAACCCAGCAGGAGUGGAUAACUGCCUUCAUGCAGACUUUGGUGAAGUGAGAUUAAAAACAGAGAGUUGCCUUCAUCAGGACUCAGGCAGAAGAUAGGAACAACACGCUCCUGAAGGAGGAGGAAGAAGCCAGAAUUUCAGGAAUUCAGCCCUGGGGCAAGAUAAAAAUACUGCAGCCAGGAGCUGAGUGUGCUUUCCUUCUGUGUCCCCCUGGGAUUGUUUGGAACCCAUGGGAGGGUGGAGUUGUCGAUACUGGGUGGGGGGGAAGUGCUGUGGACCCCUGAGGACCUACCCUUUUAACUUUGUUGCCCAAGCACCCCUCAGGACUGGCACGUAGCGCUUGGAGCAGUGCAGGGAGAAGAACAAACCCCCAAGAAGAACUUUAUUUGGACAUUUUUGUUUGUUUUGGGACUUUGAUCAUUAAAGGAUGCUUGCACCUGAGAGUGCCAGGAUGGAAGCCUACAAUGACAGUGUGAGGAGAAGGACACAGCCCCAAGAGGACUUUUACUUGGAUAUUUUUGUUUUGGAUUGAGGGUAUUAUAACUUUAUGUGCUUUGUGUUUAUUGAAAGCCAUACAGCCACUCUGGAAAUGAGUUGUUAUGUUAUUUAUUUUGCAAAUGUGAACUUUGUUAUGUGUUUAUUUUGUGGGGAUUUUCUUGUACUUAAGAAAUGUUAAUGCCUAUUCAGCUACAAGUUGGUUAUGUAAUGAACAUGAAUGAUCUUGGGGCCAAAUAAAUGUUAAUACAAUUUGAAGACCUUCCCCACCAAUAAAUAGGCCUCAUAUGGAGUCCUUUAAGGGAAGCUUGAUUAGGGGAGGCUUGUUUGC